Rosa chinensis is the source of this 1077-nucleotide RNA transcript. RefSeq lists it as uncharacterized. The record is from RefSeq and is a predicted model, not a curated record. The transcript has 8 exons. Lineage: Eukaryota; Viridiplantae; Streptophyta; Magnoliopsida; Rosales; Rosaceae.
GAAAUUGAAUUUGUUUAUCCGGGGAGAGAGUCGGACGUGGGAGACGCACGAAAUACCCACUCAACUGAGAAUUGCCUCCUUCACCGGUAAUAACCAACCAGAAAACUCACGAUCUUAACACGAACGUGGGAAGUUAUCGGCGCUCAAUGGGCUCACCACGAUUUACCAGCUAUAAAAGAGGCAAGAUGGAUGAUCAACCCAGAACAAGGAAAAAGAAGAGAAUCAAAUUCCUGCAAUUUCAAUUUGGAUUUCGAUUUGGUUCGGAAGAGCACUCAACUGAAUCGUGUUUAGAAGGAUUGGUGAGAAUCAGUGAGCAAUUAAGGUAUCAAAUUUGGUCGUUACAAAAAAAAAAAAAAAAGCUAGAUGUGCAAUACCUUCAUGUUAAUGCAGCUAUUGAUUCCAGCAUAGGCCUUAACCCAGCCCCUCUUUUAGAGUUAUCAGCAACAAUUGGAAGUAAGGAUCUUAGGAAGGUUGAUGAAAUUGGAAUUCAAGUCCUUAUUAGAUUAACAGGACGGGUGAGCAAUUAAGGAAGAAUUGAUUGAAGCUGUGAGGAAUUGAGGAGCAUAUUGAACAAAGCUUUAAGAUUACUAGGAACAGUCAGAUGGCAUGCAAACUGUGUUCUUUUUAUUGCUCAAAGUUAAUCAUUCAAGGCCAUAUCUCUCUGUGUCUUCUACCUCAUUCAUGUUGUUGGCUUUUUCUAAUCUUAAUUUCUAAUAUUGUUUACCGGUCAAAAUUGAUUAUAGAGGGUUGUUAUUUGUUUCCUUUACUUUUGUUUCUAAUACUGAAACUGUGAAGAUUCUUAACAAACAAAAUGAGUAAAGUUGAGAGUUCAUAGGCAACGGUGAAGCAAACCACUGAAUUGCUUCGCUCGGUGCGCGUAUACCCUACACAAAUCAAGUUGGGGCUUUGAUUGAUGUUGCAAAGGUAGCUGGGGAGUAGCUGAUUGCUGCAAAUCUGUGGGUAAGGACAUUUAAAAUCAUAAACUUUAUUGACGAAAUAAAGAAGAAUACAUCUACAAGUUUUAAGAGUUGUGAAGACUAUUGACAAACAAAGUGAGGUGGUUUGCUUCCAAAAAAA